UCCCCGGUAGCUCAGUCGGUAGAGCAGCUGACUGUUAAUCAGCGGGUCGCUGGUUCGAGCCCGGCCCGGGGAG
Molecule: transfer RNA, 73 nt
Filed under: bacterium
Lineage: Bacteria
Also listed under: 2 other names
Description: tRNA-Asn
Rfam family: tRNA
About the family: Transfer RNA (tRNA) molecules are approximately 80 nucleotides in length.
Source: RNAcentral